This 216-nucleotide ribosomal RNA is filed under the name Glomeromycotina sp. RNAcentral describes it as "partial small subunit ribosomal RNA". The stretch from base 40 to 216 matches the Rfam family "Eukaryotic small subunit ribosomal RNA", at positions 686 to 864 of the family's 1831-position model. The record is from RNAcentral. Lineage: Eukaryota; Fungi; Glomeromycota.
GGGUCAGUAGGUUGGUCGUGCCACCGGUACGUACUGGUCUCACUGAUUCCUCCUUCCUGAAGAACUGUAAUGCCAUUAAUUUGGUGUUGCGGGGAAACAGGACUGUUACUUUGAAAAAAUUAGAGUGUUUAAAGCAAGCUAACGCUUGAAUACAUUAGCAUGGAAUAAUGAAAUAGGACGAUCGAUCCUAUUUUGUUGGUUUCUAGGAUUGACGCA